UCGAGGAUCUUCGGCAAUGGGCGCAAGCCUGACCGAGCGACGCCGCGUGUGCGAUGAAGGCCUUCGGGUUGUAAAGCACUGUCGAGGGGGAGGAAAGCCCGCAAGGGCCUGACCUAUCCCUGGAGGAAGCACGGGCUAAGUUCGUGCCAGCAGCCGCGGUAAGACGAACCGUGCGAACGUUGUUCGGAUUCACUGGGCUUAAAGGGCGCGUAGGCGGGCUCGCAAGUCAGGGGUGAAAUCCUCCGGCUCAACCGGAGAACAGCCUUUGAUACUGCGAGCCUCGAGGAAGGUAGGGGCAUGUGGAACUUCCGGUGGAGCGGUGAAAUGCGUAGAUAUCGGAAGGAACGCCGGUGGCGAAAGCGACGUGCUGGACCUUUUCUGACGCUGAGGCGCGAAAGCCAGGGGAGCAAACGG
RNAcentral lists this ribosomal RNA (414 nucleotides) under uncultured bacterium. Its description in RNAcentral is "bacterial SSU rRNA". It matches the Rfam family "Bacterial small subunit ribosomal RNA", at positions 355 to 775 of the family's 1533-position model. The record is from RNAcentral.